Molecule: transfer RNA, 72 nt
Filed under: Camelus bactrianus (Bactrian camel)
Lineage: Eukaryota; Metazoa; Chordata; Mammalia; Artiodactyla; Camelidae
Also listed under: 1 other name
Rfam family: tRNA
About the family: Transfer RNA (tRNA) molecules are approximately 80 nucleotides in length. Their secondary structure includes four short double-helical elements and three loops (D, anti-codon, and T loops). Further hydrogen bonds mediate the characteristic L-shaped molecular structure. tRNAs have two regions of fundamental functional importance: the anti-codon, which is responsible for specific mRNA codon recognition, and the 3' end, to which the tRNAs corresponding amino acid is attached (by aminoacyl-tRNA synthetases). tRNAs cope with the degeneracy of the genetic code in two manners: having more than one tRNA (with a specific anti-codon) for a particular amino acid; and 'wobble' base-pairing, i.e. permitting non-standard base-pairing at the 3rd anti-codon position.
Source: Rfam by way of RNAcentral
UGGGGUAUAGCUCAGUAGCAGAGCGCAUGCUUAGUGUGCACAAGAUCCUGGGUUCAACCCCCAGUACCUCUA